CAUUUGACUGAAAAGCGCCAUACAAAUAAAUAAAGUUUGAGUUUGAGUACAAAGGAGUAAGUAAAAUUUUUAACUGGUGGACUUUUAACCUUUUUUUUAGAAAAGAAAAGUGAACAGGAAAUAAAUACUUUUCUCUGGUGGAAGAAAAUGAUGAACCCAAAACAUCCUCAACUGACUGACCUAUGACCUUCAGACUGUUGGGCUUCACUCAGGGGUCAAGUGUAGGUUUUAAACCUGCAUUCGUGCCCCAUUUGACCCUUUAAACUUUAUGUGAUUUGUGUCUAAUCCACUUUUAUGACAUUUCUGCCACGUUAACUCCACACCGUGUACUUCAUAGGCCUUCUUCAGCUUUUGGACUUGAGGUUGCCAAUCGAGCAAUGUAACAGUGAAGAGAAAGUAGCAGAACCAGUUAGGGCUUCUAGCAGCAGAAUUAAACAUUACCUGAAAGCACAAAGGAGCUCUGGAGCAACAUUGAACUGAAGAGGAGAUUGGCUGCUAGGAUACGACGUACGAGCAAGACAUGGCAACACCGCACACACGGAGCUGAUGGAGACGCUGAAGGGCUCUUCAGCAGCGGAAGAAAGAAGAAUGUGGGUGUGUGUUAUGUGAGCACAUGCGACUCAAUUAAGGCUCUGAGGAACUACAGGCGACGCUUUUUUUUAUUUAUUUUUUAAUGACAAACUAUGUAAAUGUCUCAUUCGGGCCAUCGGAGCAGGAGAACCAGACUUUCCUUUGCUUCAACGAACAUUUAAACGGCGAGUGGCGGCGGCUUGGCUGCCUCGCUGUCGCAGUUUACAGGUAAACACGGCGCCUCUUGUCACCCGCGGCGGUGAUGGGUCUCCACAGCAACGCCGUGACGCGCCAAACAGGAGCUAGCCACCAAAACGAAGAGAGGCGGCAUCUCCAGGAGCGAGCGGCGGCUCCUUUUACAAAGAUCGUCUAUCCAUGGGAGGAUGUCAACUGCGACGCAUUUUCUUUCAGGACCCGAACAUAAUGAUUCUAAGGACAUGUUUAUUACCUUUAGUCCAAUUUAAACAUUCCACACCAAACACAUUAUGUGCAUAUUGCAAUUUAUAAUAAAAUAGAGCAUAAUUGAACAUGUAGCUACAUAGAAUCCAAUAAUGGUUGUAAACUAAAAAUGCAAGAAAAAAAUAAAGUAGAAAUAUACACAUUUAAAGAAUGAAAAUGUAUGACAAAGUUACAAGGACAAAUAUGUCAUACAUUGAUUGUGUAUUAAUAAUCAUUCCAAUCUGAUGGUCAGUCGUGAUCGAGUGGUCAACCUCUGAUUGGAAGACCACAGGCUCAAUUCCCACUUUGCUCAUGUGUCAAAGUGCCCCUGGGCAAGACACUGAAUCUUUCAUUGCUCCCGGUGAUCCUAGGUUGGCACCAAUGUUUGGCAGCAGCGUGUGAAUAUGUGUGUGCAUGAGACUGGGACUGUCUGGGCCUUCUAUAAGUAUAUAAGUAUACAAUUUAAAUAAAAAAAAUGUUUAAGGCUGACAAAAUCACAUUGUACCAAAAAAUAAAUAAUAAUAUAAAUAAAUAAGAUUGUGUCUGCCCCAAACCUUUAAGCUGAUUUGUACAUCAGUCAGACCUGAUCCUAAAGAGUUUUUGCCUAAAACUCACAUGUUUGCCAUAUUUUAACUGAAUAAAAAUUGUGUUUUUAGCAUGUUCUUCUCUGAUUUUUGUCAUGAUGGAUCGCAUACAUAGAGAAAAUUAAGCUUUAAAUAGCAUUUCUGGGCAUUUAUUUUUUUUAA
Long non-coding RNA from Oryzias melastigma (Indian medaka), 1754 nucleotides. RefSeq lists it as uncharacterized. Lineage: Eukaryota; Metazoa; Chordata; Actinopteri; Beloniformes; Adrianichthyidae. The transcript is spliced from 3 exons. The record is from RefSeq and is a predicted model, not a curated record.